AACGAACGCUGGCGGCAUGCCUAACACAUGCAAGUCGAACGAGACCUUCGGGUCUAGUGGCGCACGGGUGCGUAACGCGUGGGAACCUGCCCUUAGGUUCGGAAUAACUCCCCGAAAGGGGUGCUAAUACCGGAUAAUGUCUUCGAACCAAAGAUUUAUCGCCUUUGGAUGGGCCCGCGUUGGAUUAGCUAGUUGGUAGGGUAAAAGCCUACCAAGGCGACGAUCCAUAGCUGGUCUGAGAGGAUGAUGAGCCACACUGGGACUGAGACACGGCCCGGACUCCUACGGGAGGCAGCAGUGGGGAAUAUUGGACAAUGGGCGAAAGCCUGAUGCAGCAAUGCCGCGUGAAUGAUGAAGGCCUUAGGGUUGUAAAGCUCUUUUACCCGGGAUGAUAAUGACAGUACCGGGAGAAUAAGCGCCGGCUAACUCCGUG
Molecule: ribosomal RNA, 433 nt
Filed under: uncultured bacterium
Lineage: Bacteria
Description: partial 16S ribosomal RNA
Rfam family: Bacterial small subunit ribosomal RNA
Source: RNAcentral